Molecule: ribosomal RNA, 296 nt
Filed under: uncultured bacterium
Lineage: Bacteria
Description: partial 16S ribosomal RNA
Rfam family: Bacterial small subunit ribosomal RNA
Source: RNAcentral
AAGCCUAGCGAUUGUAAAUUUAGUGGCGGACGGGUGAGUAACGCGUGGGUAACCUGCCUUGUACUGGGGGACAACAGUUGGAAACGACUGCUAAUACCGCAUAAGCGCACAGCUUCGCAUGAAGCAGUGUGAAAAACUCCGGUGGUACAAGAUGGACCCGCGUCUGAUUAGCUGGUUGGUGAGGUAACGGCCCACCAAGGCGACGAUCAGUAGCCGGCCUGAGAGGGUGAACGGCCACAUUGGGACUGAGACACGGCCCAAACUCCUACGGGAGGCAGCAGUGGGGAAUAUUGCAC